GACAAAUAAGUUCUUAUGAUUAAUGCUUCUGCCAAUUCUAACCCAAAAAGGAAAGAAAAGGUAAAAGAAGGAUCAAAGAACUAAAUUUUGCAUCCUAAGGUGGAAACCAAAAGAAGCAGAAGUUACCCAAAGAUAAAAUACUUUUUGUCAAGAAAAUGACACUGGAAGGGAUACUGCUUGAUGUUCAAAACAUUGGAUGUUUUGAUAGCAGAAUUUGGUAUAUUUUUCAUUGAGGUGAACAUGUAACAACUCAUACUCCUGGGUAUUAGAUACGAGUUAUAGUUCACACAUUUUUAAAAUGUGUGUUGUCUAACUAAAAACAGGAGAGUGGGACCAAGGAAAUUUGACUUACGCAUUUGUUUUGAGCAAUAGUUGCUGCUAAAUGCAUAAUGUCUUAUGGAUUUGAUCUAUCUCUGGGUUUGUGGACAUGUUAGAUUGUUAUUUUGUUCUUGGAAUUACGAGGAAUAUAAUUUACAUUCUCGUGUUAGACAUUGAAGUUUUUCUAUCCAUUUUACUUAUAGAAUUUAUUCUACUUUGCUUAAUGGAGAUGAAAAUAUUUCACUUGAGAAUACUUUAUAUUUGCUCAAUGCGAACAAAAUAUCCUCAGUGUGUAAAAUAAACCAUCACAAGCAAUGCGAAUAGUCCGACUUAACUUUGGCAUGUAG
RNAcentral lists this long non-coding RNA (665 nucleotides) under Salvia miltiorrhiza (redroot sage). RNAcentral's name for it is "long non-coding RNA (SMIL_LNC002828)". The record is from RNAcentral. Lineage: Eukaryota; Viridiplantae; Streptophyta; Magnoliopsida; Lamiales; Lamiaceae.